RNAcentral lists this ribosomal RNA (452 nucleotides) under Hoylesella oralis. RNAcentral's name for it is "bacterial SSU rRNA". It matches the Rfam family "Bacterial small subunit ribosomal RNA", at positions 28 to 465 of the family's 1533-position model. Lineage: Bacteria; Pseudomonadati; Bacteroidota; Bacteroidia; Bacteroidales; Prevotellaceae. The record is from RNAcentral.
GAUGAACGCUAGCUACAGGCUUAACACAUGCAAGUCGCGGGGCAUCAUGGAGGUUGCUUGCAAUUUCUGAUGGCGACCGGCGCACGGGUGAGUAACGCGUAUCCAACCUUCCCAUUACUACGGCAUACCCCGUUGAAAGGCGGCCUAAUUCCGUAUGCAGUCCGAAGCAGUCAUCUAAUUUGGACGAAAGGUAUAUUCUAUCGGUAAUGGAUGGGGAUGCGUCCGAUUAGCCAGCCGGCGGGGUAACGGCCCACCGGGGCAUUGAUCGGUAGGGGUUCUGAGAGGAAGGUCCCCCACACUGGAACUGAGACACGGUCCAGACUCCUACGGGAGGCAGCAGUGAGGAAUAUUGGUCAAUGGGCGUAAGCCUGAACCAGCCAAGUAGCGUGCAGGAUGACGGCCCUAUGGGUUGUAAACUGCUUUUAUGCGGGGAUAAAGUUGGGGACGUGUCC